GACCGUAGUUACCAGCCACCAAAUUUCAUUUCAAGGCUUUAUAAACAGUUUCCUGUAUUGACAGGUUUAUAUUCUGAUCCACAGUAUCACGGAGUUCACACAAGACUUGUUUGCUCGCAAAGCGGAUGAAGAGGGCGGCCUCUAAAGAUUAAAGGUACCAUUGCGGUCCCUCCAGCAGAUACUUGUCCUGUCCUGAUGCUCCGGAGCGCUAGCUUGUCCCAGCUAACACAAAAAUAUGAAGCUGGGAAGCCGCCUCCUCGGUCAAGGGAAAAGAGAAACCUGGGUCUCCCCCAGCUGAGACAGUGCAGGACAAUGGCCAGACCGUGUGUGACAACAGAACUCCGACCCUCCACCUCUGCGGCAACCGGCUCGGGGAGCCUGACCGCAGGCCCCGCCGCGACCGGCCCAGAGCGGGCUGCGCUCGGACACUGCCUGCCAGCUUCCCCGGUUUUCGCUCCUGCUUCCACCCCGGGGCCAAUCAGAGAAAGCCAAAUAUGUCCCCCCAACCAAUCACAGAGCGGCGCCGCCUCCAGGUCGCCUGCCUCCGGCUUCUCAGGCCCACAACGUCCAAUCAACGCGCUCCUCAAGCCUCCCCGUUUUCCCUGCCGGCCUCUGAGUCUCUACCGAACCGAGGGAAGGCGGUGGGCUCCCUCGCUUAGCAGACUCUGAAUAAAUAGCCUGUUCCCCUUUG
Molecule: long non-coding RNA, 691 nt
Organism: Suricata suricatta (meerkat)
Lineage: Eukaryota; Metazoa; Chordata; Mammalia; Carnivora; Herpestidae
Exons: 2
Source: RefSeq, a predicted model, not a curated record